RNAcentral lists this ribosomal RNA (569 nucleotides) under uncultured bacterium. RNAcentral describes it as "partial 16S ribosomal RNA". It matches the Rfam family "Bacterial small subunit ribosomal RNA", at positions 355 to 918 of the family's 1533-position model. The record is from RNAcentral.
UGGGGAAUUUUGGACAAUGGGCGAAAGCCUGAUCCAGCAAUGCCGCGUGUGUGAAGAAGGCCUUCGGGUUGUAAAGCACUUUUGUCCGGAAAGAAAUCCUUGGCUCUAAUACAGUCGGGGGAUGACGGUACCGGAAGAAUAAGCACCGGCUAACUACGUGCCAGCAGCCGCGGUAAUACGUAGGGUGCAAGCGUUAAUCGGAAUUACUGGGCGUAAGCGUGCGCAGGCGGUUUGCUAAGACCGAUGUGAAAUCCCCGGGCUCAACCUGGGAACUGCAUUGGUGACUGGCAGGCUAGAGUAUGGCAGAGGGGGUAGAAUUCCACGUGUAGCAGUGAAAUGCGUAGAGAUGUGGAGGAAUACCGAUGGCGAAGGCAGCCCCCUGGGCCAAUACUGACGCUCAUGCACGAAAGCGUGGGGGAGCAAACAGGAUUAGAUACCCUGGUAGUCCACGCCCUAAACGAUGUCAACUAGUUGUUGGGGAUUCAUUUCCUUAGUAACGUAGCUAACGCGUGAAGUUGACCGCCUGGGGAGUACGGUCGCAAGAUUAAAACUCAAAUGAAUUGACGGGG